Molecule: ribosomal RNA, 658 nt
Filed under: uncultured Lachnospiraceae bacterium
Lineage: Bacteria; Bacillati; Bacillota; Clostridia; Lachnospirales; Lachnospiraceae
Description: bacterial SSU rRNA
Rfam family: Bacterial small subunit ribosomal RNA
Source: RNAcentral
UCGAACGGGAAACCUUUUAUUGAAGCUUCGGCAGAUUUAGCUGGUUUCUAGUGGCGGACGGGUGAGUAACGCGUGGGUAACCUGCCUUGUACAGGGGGAUAACAGUCAGAAAUGACUGCUAAUACCGCAUAAGCGCACAGGACCGCAUGGUCCGGUGUGAAAAACUCCGGUGGUAUAAGAUGGACCCGCGUUGGAUUAGCUUGUUGGUGGGGUAACGGCCCACCAAGGCGACGAUCCAUAGCCGGCCUGAGAGGGUGAACGGCCACAUUGGGACUGAGACACGGCCCAGACUCCUACGGGAGGCAGCAGUGGGGAAUAUUGCACAAUGGGGGAAACCCUGAUGCAGCGACGCCGCGUGAAGGAAGAAGUAUCUCGGUAUGUAAACUUCUAUCAGCAGGGAAGAAAAUGACGGUACCUGACUAAGAAGCCCCGGCUAACUACGUGCCAGCAGCCGCGGUAAUACGUAGGGGGCAAGCGUUAUCCGGAUUUACUGGGUGUAAAGGGAGCGUAGACGGAUGGACAAGUCUGAUGUGAAAGGCUGGGGCUCAACCCCGGGACUGCAUUGGAAACUGCCCGUCUUGAGUGCCGGAGAGGUAAGCGGAAUUCCUAGUGUAGCGGUGAAAUGCGUAGAUAUUAGGAGGAACACCAGUGGCGAAGG